RNAcentral lists this ribosomal RNA (393 nucleotides) under uncultured bacterium. RNAcentral's name for it is "partial 16S ribosomal RNA". It matches the Rfam family "Bacterial small subunit ribosomal RNA", at positions 523 to 918 of the family's 1533-position model. The record is from RNAcentral.
AUACGGAGGAUCCGAGCGUUAUCCGGAUUUAUUGGGUUUAAAGGGAGCGUAGGUGGAUUGUUAAGUCAGUUGUGAAAGUUUGCGGCUCAACCGUAAAAUUGCAGUUGAAACUGGCAGUCUUGAGUACAGUAGAGGUGGGCGGAAUUCGUGGGGUAGCGGUGAAAUGCUUAGAUAUCACGAAGAACUCCGAUUGCGAAGGCAGCUCACUAGACUGUUACUGACACUGAUGCUCGAAAGUGUGGGUAUCAAACAGGAUUAGAUACCCUGGUAGUCUACACAGUAAACGAUGAAUACUCGCUGUUUGCGAUAUACAGUAAGCGGCCAAGCGAAAGCAUUAAGUAUUCCACCUGGGGAGUACGCCGGCAACGGUGAAACUCAAAUGAAUUGACGGGG